CCUACGGGAGGCAGCAGUGAGGAAUAUUGGGCAAUGGAGGCAACUCUGAACCAGCAACGCCGCGUGAAGGAUGAAGGCCCUAUGGUUGUAAAACUAUGUUGUUAAGGAAGAAAAGCAUGACGGUACUUUCCAAGAAAGCACCGGCUAACUAUGUGCCAGCAGCCGCGGUAAGACAUCGGGCGCAAGCGAUGUUCGGAAUUACUUGGGGUAAAGGGUGCGUAGGUGGGAGAUUAAGUUAAGAGUGAAAGCGUUGGGGUCAACCCAAGAAAUGUUCUUAAUACUGGUUUUCUAGAGUGUGGGAGAAGUAAGUGGAAUGCCUAGUGUAGCGGUAGAAUGCGUAGAGAUUAGGCGGAACGUC
Molecule: ribosomal RNA, 358 nt
Filed under: uncultured bacterium
Lineage: Bacteria
Description: partial 16S ribosomal RNA
Rfam family: Bacterial small subunit ribosomal RNA
Source: RNAcentral